GACGAACGCUGGCGGCGUGCUUAACACAUGCAAGUCGAACGGAAAGGCCCUGCUUUUGUGGGGUGCUCGAGUGGCGAACGGGUGAGUAACACGUGAGUAACCUGCCCUUGACUUUGGGAUAACUUCAGGAAACUGGGGCUAAUACCGGAUAGGAGCUCCUGCUGCAUGGUGGGGGUUGGAAAGUUUCGGCGGUUGGGGAUGAACUCGCGGCUUAUCAGCUUGUUGGUGGGGUAGUGGCUUACCAAGGCUUUGACGGGUAGCCGGCCUGAGAGGGUGACCGGCCACAUUGGGACUGAGAUACGGCCCAGACUCCUACGGGAGGCAGCAGUGGGGAAUAUUGCACAAUGGGCGGAAGCCUGAUGCAACAACGCCGCGUGCGGGAUGACGGCCUUCGGGUUGUAAACCGCUUUCGCCUGUGACGAAGCGUGAGUGACGGUAAUGGGUAAAGAAGCACCGGCUAACUACGUG
This 468-nucleotide ribosomal RNA is filed under the name uncultured bacterium. Its description in RNAcentral is "partial 16S ribosomal RNA". It matches the Rfam family "Bacterial small subunit ribosomal RNA", at positions 28 to 507 of the family's 1533-position model. The record is from RNAcentral.